This 205-nucleotide ribosomal RNA is filed under the name uncultured bacterium. RNAcentral's name for it is "partial 16S ribosomal RNA". It matches the Rfam family "Bacterial small subunit ribosomal RNA", at positions 570 to 774 of the family's 1533-position model. The record is from RNAcentral.
CGUAGGCGGUUUGUUAAGUCGGAUGUGAAAGCCCCGGGCUCAACCUGGGAAUUGCAUCCGAUACUGGCCGACUGGAGUGCGAGAGAGGGAGGUAGAAUUCCACGUGUAGCGGUGAAAUGCGUAGAUAUGUGGAGGAAUACCGGUGGCGAAGGCGGCCUCCUGGCUCGACACUGACGCUGAGGUGCGAAAGCGUGGGGAGCAAACA